Molecule: ribosomal RNA, 460 nt
Filed under: uncultured Desulfobacterium sp.
Lineage: Bacteria; Pseudomonadati; Thermodesulfobacteriota; Desulfobacteria; Desulfobacterales; Desulfobacteriaceae
Description: bacterial SSU rRNA
Rfam family: Bacterial small subunit ribosomal RNA
Source: RNAcentral
CACAAGCGGUGGAGCAUGUGGUUUAAUUCGAUGCAACGCGAAGAACCUUACCUAGGUUUGACAUCCCGGGGAGUCUCUUGAAAGAGAGAUGUGCCCUUCGGGGAGCCCGGAGACAGGUGCUGCAUGGCUGUCGUCAGCUCGUGUCGUGAGAUGUUGGGUUAAGUCCCGCAACGAGCGCAACCCUUAUCUUUAGUUACCAGCACUUCGGGUGGGGACUCUAGAGAUACUGCCCCGGUCAACGGGGAGGAAGGUGGGGAUGACGUCAAGUCCUCAUGGCCUUUAUGCCUAGGGCUACACACGUGCUACAAUGGGCGGUACAAAGGGUCGCGAUCCCGCGAGGGGGAGCCAAUCCCAAAAAGCCGUCCCAAGUUCGGAUUGGAGUCUGCAACUCGACUCCAUGAAGCUGGAAUCGCUAGUAAUCGCGGAUCAGCAUGCCGCGGUGAAUACGUUCUCGGGGUUU